This 2037-nucleotide long non-coding RNA is filed under the name Volvox carteri. RNAcentral's name for it is "long non-coding RNA (VCAR_LNC003748)". Lineage: Eukaryota; Viridiplantae; Chlorophyta; Chlorophyceae; Chlamydomonadales; Volvocaceae. The record is from RNAcentral.
CGCAAUGUUGAUUUGGGUCCCAGAGCUGGGCUGACGUUUAAAUGCUGCGAGUUGGGGGUUCCGCCACCACAAGGAGAUGGGGCUGCCACCACCAUUGCAGGCUAUGAUAGCACUGGCUGGAUGUGUGUGUGUGUGUGUUACAUGGUUGGGGGUGCGUGACCCCAUACCUGUAAGACUACCCAUACGAGCCGAAGGCCCAAGGCCAAUACUACAACGCCUAAAAGCCACGGAGGAAAGGAAAGCACCGCACAUCAGCCCAGACUAGCGUCCAAAGGGGGUAAUUGAAUUUCGGUGAGCCCACAUACGUUCCAACAUCCUCAACAGACGUGCGGGUUCCCAUUUCAUGGCUGGAUGUGGCUCACGUGCGAUCUAGGCAUAGGGUUAUGGGGCAAGCGGUUUACAGGAAGUUGAGCUUUGAAUGAGGGACUUAACCUCCUCAAGGAUAUGAGGCCAGAGGCUUUCCCGUUGACGCGGUGGGGCCCUAUGGCGCUCGUAUUAGCAACACCAUGCCGUGAAUACCCUGCAAUUGGUCACACACUACCGUUUCGCGCCUUCGUCCACUGGCAAACACAAAGCGGGUCCAUGCCAUACACCUGCGUACGACAUCACAAAGAUGGGCCCGGUAACCAUCCAUUAGUGACCGGGGCGAGGUGCGCAAUAGGGUCCCCCUCCAUCCCUGGACCUGAACCUUGCCAGGCACAUCCUUGGACCUGCAGAUAAGUAGCCGGCGGCGGAGGGGGCCCGGUUCCCUUCCUUUCCCCAACCCGCCCCGCCCCGCGGCCGAGGAUGAGACGCAUCUCCGUCCUUGCUUUUGCUACCUUGUCCUUGACCUUGACCUCGACAGCUAUUCCCAGGAAGGCUCAGCCUAGUAUACAGUCUUAACGGGCUGCUGCAACUGGACCGACGCGUCCAAAGUGCAGUGCGACACGUGAGACGCGGACGGUAGAUAGAUGCUGCCCGAAAACUGCGACUGUGUGGGUCAGCACCUUCGAUGAUGCAGUUUAGGCACCAGGGAAGACCUGGUCUCCUGUAGCUACCGUUAUCGAAGCCUACUCUCCAAUUGUGGGUCAACGUGCGCUAUUCGUUGACGCCUCAGUUCCCACCAGCACCUUUGAUGGUGGGGUAAUAGGGAGAAGAGGGCAGGAAGCAAAGCCACCAAGGGAUACGCCCUAAGGGACACCGCCCCAGCUACUCACGAGAACGCUGGCGCCAGGGAACUGAAGUUAAGGCAUACAUGUUCCCCAGUAAUUGACACCACCCAACGUAUCUUUAUGCACUGGAAGCAACCGCAGCGGCCGGCCAUCCAUGUAAAGGCCGCGAUGGGAGCUUUCGGGGCUAGGCGCGAGCCACCUCAAUCGCCUAGGGUGCAGUCGUGUAUUUGCAUAUUUGGCAUAGAAAACGUCAGGCUUUUAUCGACGCAAACUUGCCCCCAUAUUGCAAGGUGCAGUGUAUGUUAUAAGCCUCGUUAUCAUAUGGCUAUGCCAUAGCUUAUGGCCGUCUAAUUCCCUGGUAAGUGUGUCGUUUAGGCGGAUGACGGUAAACCAUGGAGAACGGCGGUAUUGAGAAUCGGCUUCAAGUGCGCUUUCCUAACUUCAUCUUCGGUACCAUCAGAUUGCUUAAAGAUGUCCCUGCCAAAGAGUAGAUUACAGCACUACAUUCUGAAUUCGCAUUUGCAAAAUCUCGUUGGAAAUGGAAGAAACCGAAUACAGUAGUGUCCCGUAGACUCCCUUUCUUUGCCUCGGUUAUCGCAGCAUCGGCCAUCAGUUCCAAGCAUCUCUUCGUUGUGCCAUUAGAAUCACUGCGGGAAUGGAGGGUGAGGCAGACGUCACUAGCAGUGCCGGUCCGGAGACUCGCAGCGGUCGUUCCCAUGAGGUAGGACGCUUGAACAUGAACAUCUAUGUUGAUCACUGCAGCUCGGUCCAUCGUCAAUGCCUGUGAACUUUCUUUUUCAACUGGAGGUGAUUUGGCUCGAAGCUUUCCGUUCGAAAGUUUAUUUUAUAUUGUCCAUUAAGAAGGCAGAGUCCAUUUUAUAAUCCG